UAAUCCUUGUAGCGAGGCAGCCAAAAUGUGU
RNAcentral lists this non-coding RNA (31 nucleotides) under Mus musculus (house mouse). The record is from RNAcentral. Lineage: Eukaryota; Metazoa; Chordata; Mammalia; Rodentia; Muridae.